GUGUCUUCGAGUCGUUGAUUUCACACUGCCGAGAAAAGCCUCUAGAUAGAAAAUAGGUGCCCGUACCGCAAACCGACACAGGUAGUCAAGAUGAGAAUUCUAAGGUGAGCGAGCGAACUCUCGUUAAGGAACUCGGCAAAAUGACCCCGUAACUUCGGGAGAAGGGGUGCUCUUUAGGGUUAACGCCCAGAAGAGCCGCAGUGAAUAGGCCCAAGCGACUGUUUAUCAAAAACACAGGUCUCUGCUAAACCGUAAGGUGAUGUAUAGGGGCUGACGCCUGCCCGGUGCUGGAAGGUUAAGAGGAGUGGUUAGCUUCUGCGAAGCUACGAAUCGAAGCCCCAGUAAACGGCGGCCGUAACUAUAACGGUCCUAAGGUAGCGAAAUUCCUUGUCGGGUAAGUUCCGACCCGCACGAAAGGCGUAACGAUUUGGGCACUGUCUCAACGAGAGACUCGGUGAAAUCAUAGUACCUGUGAAGAUGCAGGUUACCCGCGACAGGACGGAAAGACCCCGUGGAGCUUUACUGUAGCCUGAUAUUGAAAUUCGGCACAGCUUGUACAGGAUAGGUAGGAGCCUUUGAAACGUGAGCGCUAGCUUACGUGGAGGCGCUGGUGGGAUACUACCCUAGCUGUGUUGGCUUUCUAACCCGCACCACUUAUCGUGGUGGGAGACAGUGUCAGGCGGGCAGUUUGACUGGGGCGGUCGCCUCCUAAAAGGUAACGGAGGCGCUCAAAGGUUCCCUCAGAAUGGUUGGAAAUCAUUCAUAGAGUGUAAAGGCAUAAGGGAGCUUGACUGCGAGACCUACAAGUCGAGCAGGGUCGAAAGACGGACUUAGUGAUCCGGUGGUUCCGCAUGGAAGGGCCAUCG
RNAcentral lists this ribosomal RNA (866 nucleotides) under Staphylococcus aureus. Its description in RNAcentral is "partial 23S ribosomal RNA". It matches the Rfam family "Bacterial large subunit ribosomal RNA", at positions 1580 to 2447 of the family's 2925-position model. Lineage: Bacteria; Bacillati; Bacillota; Bacilli; Caryophanales; Staphylococcaceae. The record is from RNAcentral.